Molecule: non-coding RNA, 90 nt
Organism: Acanthosepion pharaonis
Lineage: Eukaryota; Metazoa; Mollusca; Cephalopoda; Sepiida; Sepiidae
Source: the annotation of a GenBank genome assembly
CGGCCUUACACGUUGAAACACCGGUUCCCGUACGAUCACCGAAGUUAAGCAACAUCGAGCUUGGUCAAUACCUUGAUGGAUGACCGCUUG